CUUGUUUUUUACUUUAAAAACCUGUUUCCAGAAGUUUCAGGUUUCUUUUUGCAAAGACAAGUCAGUUGUUACCAUUAGCCAUGUAGCUGAAAAUUCACAGCAUCCUCACUCUGGAAAUUUUAUCUUUUAUAAAAAGAACACUAUUUGUCUAUCAAGUUUGGGCAGCAAGCAUAAAAUUUACAAAGCUCAGUCUUUCACCACAAGCCUCUGGAGGAAGAGACCUCAGCUUUGCAACAUCUUGUACUUUGUGACAAAAUCUUUUGCCUGAGAUUUCAAUUACUUGGGUAGCAAAUGACAUUUUAAAGCGCCCUCCUCCCAAAAGUUGAGCUGUGCUUUUCCUUUGCCCAUCACACAGCUGUGGUUUGACACAAGAACACAGAGAAGGAAACGGAUUCACAUGGAAGCUGAAGGCCUGUGGGCUUAACUACACGUUAUUUGAUGAUUAUUUUAUUUUAUUGCCUUGUAGCCAUAGUCAAGAGACUUUUUCGAUCCUAGGUGGGCAGGUGGAGGUAUGGGGGAAGAGGCAAUUUCCAUCAGGAUCAUGGGGUUUAAAAAAAACCCUCAGCUGUGACCCCAAAGAAAAUUACACAAAUAGGCCACAGUUCAAUUAUUGGGGUGGGGGGAGCUCCCCUUAGCACCAAUGGAAGAAUUUCCCCCGCCGUCUCUAAAUGUAGUGUGAGGGGAAAUGGUGAAGGAAGGCUUAAGUCUCUCAUCUCUGCAUGUUGCGCUCCCGAUGAAAAUCUCCCUCCCAUCUAGGAUCUUUUUUUUUUAUCCCCUGACCUGGCUGCAAGCUACAUAAUUAACAUAACACAGGCAGGUCCUUCAGUGGUUGAUUCAUGAAUUUAUUCUUCGGUAGCCCAAAUGGUGCCCUCCAAAUGUUUAUAGACCAGAACCCCCCUUGUCCUCACCAGUAGCCAUGCUGGCUGGGGCUGAGCCCAGCAACAUCCAGAGAGCACUAUGUUGGCUAUCCCUCGAUUUACCUCUCUGCAAAUCCUCCACCGUUUUCCUGUUUCCCACCACCAACUUCCAUCAUUCCAUCAACAUAUAGAUCAUUCUACUAGAAUCAACAUCUUGCAUUAGCCUUUAAAAUGGCUGCUGAAAAUGGCCACUUGGGAAGCCCCCACACCCUGCACACCAGGAGCGAUCAGGAUUCUAUCUCUUAUAUGGCCUACCGCCCCCUUUUCAGGGAGAAAAAAAUACUCAAUGCCCCCCUGGGAAAUCUACCUUCUUUAAGUGGACAAACAGAAAGAUGCAGUGAGAAAUUUGUGUUCUUUUAUGUAUCUAUAUUUCUACCUACGUCCUACAACAUAGUAAAGAAAGAUGUUGUAAAUAAGUCACCAUUAAGCUUAAACUUAUAAAAAGGCAAACAAAGAGCCAGAGGAUUUGCUGCCCCUGCAAAGCACUGCCCCACCAACCUCACUUUGAUCUCAGCCAACCCCCACCUGCCCACCUUAUUACAACCAAUCAGAGGGGUAGGUCUGCCUGACAUUGGCUCUGGCUUCACCUACUGUUGGUCUCCUGUCCAUCCAAUAGACAGCAGCCACAACUGCUUCAAGGCUAGCACCACAUGCCAAAGGAUUGCUUAGGCCUGGGCUAGACAAACAGCCGAUCAUUUGCUGUAACUGUUCCUAGAGUCUACUACUUCAGACUACAGGGUCUGAAUGCUUCCAUAUUGGGUGGAUGAGGUCCUACACAAAGGAAGCUAGAUGUCAGAAGAGGCUAGGCUAGAAUCCUUAUGCCACAUAUGAAUUUUAUAGUUUGUUAUUAAUUUGAUUUCUUAGUUUUAUUUUCCAAAUUUGUAUACCACCUUUCAUCCAUAGAUCUCAGGGCAGUUCACAACAUAAAAUGACAAUAUAAAAACCACAAAAUACAUUUGAAAGAAUUGAGAUCAACAACAAACCAAAAAAUUGGUUGCUGUUGCUUAUUUGGGAAAUAUUCAGUUAUGUGAUUACCCACCUGCAGCUUGAAAUGGAGGUCCAGGAAUGUUUAUGCCACAUGAUCUGCUGUUUACAUGAACAGAACUUUAGGCAUUCUAAUCAAUAUGAAAUCAUUUUAAGUGAGCAAAAUCGAUCCUUCAUCUGCUAAGCAGAGUGCUCCCUGCUAUAGAUGGAGGCUCAUAUUCCAUUUAUGUCCUCCCAAGUCCUUGCAGACUUGUGUUUAUUGAACUGCCCUGCCUUUAAAGUACUCAGUACAAAGGGGGGAAAUUGUGUGGCGCUUUACAAAAACUAAAAUAUAUUGCUUAAUGAUAUCAUGGGAGCCUGUUAAGCCUGGCGCUAUGGUCUUAGAACUAGUGCAUCUGCCAUAGUACCCUGCUUUUUCAAAUACCGAUCUUCUCUUGUGUAGCCACUGGUAUUCUUGAUCACCCAUGUGCUAGUGCAAACCAGUUUAGGACUGGGCUGUUAGGUUGCCCCAUAAGCCAUUAUGUAUUAUGCUUUUGUCAGAAAGCAGCUGUUAACUGAAACACAUAUACUCCAAUAAUAUGCCUCUUUAUUCAGAAAUCAGGCCUCGUUCUCACAGUAAUAAAUUUGUUUAUAGAGACUCUACCACUGCAGUUCGGGUUCACAAAGUUGAAUGUUCCUCUUUCCCCCCACCCCAGGCAUAGGCAAACUCUGGCCCUCGAUGUUUGGGACUACAAUUCCCAUCAUCCUUGGCUAUCAGGAUCAGUGGUCAGGGAUGAUGGGAAUUGUAGUCCCAAACAUCUGGAGGGCCGGAGUUUGCCUAUGCCUGCCCCAUGCUCUGCUUAAUCCCCGCUUCACAUGGAAAAUUAUAUGUUAAUGAGAAAAGCCUGGGUGUUUUUUCUGAUAAACUGGUUUUCUGUAUAAAUGUUUUGACACCCAUAGAGGAACAUAAUGUGAACCCCCACCUAUGGUCUGAGGCUAAGGCACAGAUUUACAACAGCUGGUUGUGAGAAUUAGGCCAAUAUUCCACUAGAUUCAGUGGGAUUGACAUUUAAGUAAGCAAGCAGAAGACUUAAGUCUUAGGCAGCCUAUAGGAUUGGGCUUCAUGUUACAAAAAAAUUAAAAUAAAAUAGUAAGCUCUAACCCUAUGUGAAUUUACCAAUUGAAGCCAUUCGAUUUAAAAAGGGUAAUUGUUCUUUCUUUCUUUUUCCCAUAAAAGCUUACUGACGUUGUACAAUUUUGAGGCAGGUGCUCAGCGAGUCUUGUCAAUCUUGUCUCAGACGUGAUUGACACCUUGACGAGUCUGCCUGUAAUAUCCACAAGCAAAAGGAAGUGUGUCACGUUUUCAAACGUCCAGGCACCAGUGCAGAUGUCGGCAUGCCCCAUCCUGUAUGCUUCUCGUUACUUGUUGUCUGUUGGACUAUAAAAUUUCAGCAAUUUUGAAAACCCACCAGAAUGAAUAGCCAUUGACGAGAAAUCUCUCAGCAAAAUCUGAAAGCUAAAUGAAAAAAAACAUCUGCAUUCUAUUCAGGUUGUCACAGCCUUUUCAGUGGCGUUUGAAUAGUUUUCCAGUUGCUAACACUGGAGGCCUGGAACACCAUCAGAGUUACUAUAGGGUUUUUGAUGAGGAUGAUAAAAAAUGGGGAUGAUUUAAAAGAGACUCGCGAUGGUUUUGGUUUCAGUGACUUUGUCCAACUCACCACUGAAACAAAGGCCAAGCAUGUGCAACUUGCCCUUUCUUCCUUUCAUUCCUGCUUGAACUUACUUCCCUCCCUCUUUCUUUGUUGCCUGUCUCCCCUAGGACUAAAUUUAGACUGUGGAUUUGGAGCAUGGAGCAGGGGUGCAUUUAGGUCAGUGCUAUGCACUGGGUGCUGAGCCAAGGGCCUUUUCAAAGCCCGGUAAGUAAGGCACUGGGCUUUGGGAAGGAGGCGUGAGGGCUCUGAAAGGGCCCUAGACUCCUUCUGUCUCCUUCCCAAAGCCUAGUUAGUGCUUUCCCAGCAUUAGGAAGGAGAUGGGAGGGUUCUAAGACCCUGCCUGACCCUUCGUGCCUCCUUCCCAAAGCCUUGCUUUUCUGGCUUUGGGGUAGCAGUUCAAAUUUUGGUGCCAUAUUACCCAAGUCCAUCACAGUAGGGAGCUGCUGUUUGUUUAAAGCAAGGAAUAGGAACCUCAGGCCCAGGGGCCAAAUGCAGCCCUCCAUGCCUCACUCUCCCUAGGCCACACUUCCUCCCCAGCUACACCCUAAGUGCAUAAGAAGAGGAGCAGGCUGCUGGCUCAUUGAAUCCAGCAUCCUGUUCUCUCAGUGGCCAAUCAGAUGCCUGUGGUGUCAGGUGUGUGUGCAGCAGCCAGGCCCUGUGACCAAUAGGAUUUUGCAGGACUGGGGCCUUCCUAAGUUUGUUCUGAAGAGGCAAGGCGCGGCCACACAGGUGAGGCCAAUUGGUAACUCACAGCACCUGGUGGCAAGAGCUGGGAAGGGAUAUAAGGUCAGCAUUUUCCUUUGGCUCUUUGCCACAGCAACACGCUUUCUGCCUUACUGUGUUUGGCUUCUUGCUUCCUGAUCCUUGACUCCCUGCUUCUUGAUCUUCAGACCCUUGACUUCUUGACUCUUUGCUUCUUGAUCCUCGGACCCUUGGCUUCUUGACUCCUGGCUCUCUGACCCUCAGACUCUUGGCUUUCUGACUCCUGGCUUCUGGUCUCCCGCUCCUGCUCCCACCCCCCAUCUUGCCCCCAGUCCCAACGUCCCCAGCCGGGACUUCGAUUACCAGUGAACCAGACCGUGACAUGUGGGGAGCAAGAUGGACAUGAACACAAGAGCCCACCUACAACUCCCAGCCACUGGCAUUCAGAGGCAUAUCACUUCUGACAGUGGAGGACUUUUUUAGGGGGAGUGGUUAAACCCAAACAGAUGUGGAAAUGUGAACUGAAUUUAAUAGUGGAAAAAAUGAAAAAUGGAGAAGAACCAAGAUUGAGAGAUUUACCCUUCCCAAGAACAGAUUGCAGUUAUCAUGCCAUGUCUCGAAUCUUAAUCACCCUCUUGAAGAUUGGUGAUGGCCAAACCACUGGCAGAAAUCUCACCCAACCACUUCAUUAUGGGCAGUUUAUAUGAAUAUUGUAAUUUAGAGUUGGGGGAAACAUGGUCCACUGUGACAGCAGAAGGUCUGAAAGUUGGCCCUAUGAUUCUUUGGACUGUGCCUGUUGCCACUUCUUUGAUACUUCACAGUGAAGUCAGCCUCGCAUGCUAUUCUCAGCGGUAGAAAAUGAUUCUUAUUCUUGUCAUGAAAAGUCCAAGAGCGAUUCUGUUCGAACGACACACCUCCACAAAACUCCAGGACUGCUUCUGCAAAAUGCACAAGGCUGCCAAUACACAACUGCACCCUAUGCUGCCUUUGAAGUCAUCUGCCCAACAGCUCAGGUGCUUUAAGAGAGGACACUGAAGGCAUUUUUGGUGUUGCAUCGCUUGCUAUUAUUGCUAUGCAUGAACUGCCCAUCAGACCAGACUGGUGUCAACGUAAUUUGGUACUUUGUAAUAGAGCGCAAUAGGAGAGGAAAGGCUUCCAUUGGAAAAGUGUGGGCCAUCACACAAGAAGCUAUUUAGAGUUCAGUGUGUGAAAAAUUUAUAAGAGGUGAUUCACACAACACUUCAAUAUUACUACGUCAAGCCGUGGUCUAUGAAUCACUCUUUUAGCAGCGUAUUUCCUCUAGAGAGCCAUUUGAGAAAUGCCAGGGUGAGAUGCUUUUCAGAAGUGCAGAGCUCUGAGUGAGUAAUCUAUAUUUCAAUUCAAGCACAACUCUGUGUUUUUGUACAUUCCAUGUCUCCCAACAAAAUGCUAUCACACCCUGAGAACCCAUUGCAGUUUUCAUUUCAAUAUAUACCAUUAAGCGCAAGGAGUUUAGCCAUUGCAAUUAUGACAAAAUAAACAUCAAACAGAAUGCCUGGAAACAUCAGGUCUGAUGUUGAUGGCAAACUAAAGCCAUAGAAAGGUGUCUGAAAUAGUCCAGAGACUUGGGUAACAGGGAGGACAAAUUUAUAUGCCGUUUUUAAUAUAACUGCGCAAGCGCAAAGCUUCAGAAAAGGUACACUGCCUCUUUGAAAAUUAGUGUAGGAACUACAGGUAGUUCAUGUUAUUUUUAAAAUUGUAUAUAAAAGUGGAUGUACAAAAUUCAGCAGCCUGCAUUAUGAAAGGCUGCUGAUAAUGUUCUGAGCAAAUACUAUAUUACUGUGCACUUUGGUUUUGUAGAUCUACUCUUAGAUUGUAUUUGUUUUGCUCCACAAAAGGUGCCUGUGUAUAUAGUUCAUUUGUAUCGCUUUCUGCAGAGUCCCUGACAUAUAUAUAUAGUUAUGUUUAUUAUAAGAAUAAAUGCUGUGUACAGUAUGAAAUACAGAGGUUUUGCUACAGUCACUGAACCCUAUAAUGCCAUUAGGAAAAUAAAGGCUUGUUUUUUUAAAAGAAGAAAAAAGUUCUUAUUUAUAUAUGAGUUAUCGCCUAAUGAAUUGUGAUGCAGUAUUCCUUGUCUUUGCCUCUUCCACGACAAUGUUUACUCUUCGCUAUGAUUAAUUAGCAGGUAAUAAAGUCUAUUUUGUGUUUUGAA
Long non-coding RNA from Podarcis raffonei (Aeolian wall lizard), 6485 nucleotides. RefSeq lists it as uncharacterized. The record is from RefSeq and is a predicted model, not a curated record. Lineage: Eukaryota; Metazoa; Chordata; Lepidosauria; Squamata; Lacertidae. The transcript is spliced from 2 exons.